This 72-nucleotide transfer RNA is filed under the name Serranus scriba (painted comber). Its description in RNAcentral is "tRNA-Val". It matches the Rfam family "tRNA". From Rfam's summary of the family: Transfer RNA (tRNA) molecules are approximately 80 nucleotides in length. Their secondary structure includes four short double-helical elements and three loops (D, anti-codon, and T loops). Lineage: Eukaryota; Metazoa; Chordata; Actinopteri; Perciformes; Serranidae. RNAcentral also lists the same sequence under 1 other name. The record is from RNAcentral.
CAGGGUAUGGCUAAGAUAGUAAAGCAUCUCCCUUACACUGAGAAGACACCCGUGCAAAUCGGGUUACCCUGA